GCUCUACAACAACCCGUUGGCGCUCGACGGCUCUGCCUUCCUCGCCACUGGCUACGCGCUCAAACACCCGAAAAUGACCAAAGAACUGCUCGUCGCCUCCAUCGACUAUUUCGU
Molecule: non-coding RNA, 114 nt
Filed under: Pessonella sp. PRA-29
Lineage: Eukaryota; Discosea; Flabellinia; Vannellidae
Source: RNAcentral